This is a non-coding RNA of Orycteropus afer afer, 2505 nucleotides long. NCBI's taxonomy places the organism in Eukaryota, Metazoa, Chordata, Mammalia, Tubulidentata, Orycteropodidae. The record is from RefSeq and is a predicted model, not a curated record.
AUGGAGACGUCAGUUCCCAACCCCAGUUUACCUCUCCAUUCUAAGGAUCUCCUGAGUGAUUCCUCAGACCCCCCUGUGCUGAACCAAGAGCCUUCUGAGGUGACCUCUAUGCUUCUUUGCACCUCAGCUGGCAGGCAGAACCACAGCCCACGCCCAGUUGUAUUUACCCUCCACCUCCCCACCUCCUCAUGAGGUAUUAGAGGGCUUGGCCCAAGAGCUGAGUCGAAGCUUGUCAGUUAGAUUGGAGAACAACUUGAAGAAAAAGGAUGGUUCCAAGCAUACCUUUGAGAUGAAAAGUGUCCAGGGUCAACUCCAGAGCAUGCUCCAGACCUCAUGUGAUACAGCCUAUCACGACUCCCUUCCUGCAGAUGCUAGCUCUGAGAGACAAGAAGAGGAAUCCUUUGACAGUGACAACACAGCCACCUUGCUCAACACCUGGCCUCUUCAAGAAUUAUCUCCAUCUAGCUCAGCCCAAGCCCUGGAAGAGUUGUUUCCCGGCUAUACCAGGCUUUGGCCGGGGCCCCCACUCAAUCCUCCAGAUUUUCAAGGCCUGAGAGAUGCCUUGGAUUCAGAGCAUACUCGUCGCAAGCACUAUGAGAGCCAUAUUCAGAGCCUGCAGACUUGCGUGCUAGAGCUACAGCAGCAAUUAGCUGUGGCUAUGGCUGCUGACCGCAAGAAAGGCAUCAUGAUUGAACAACUGGACAAGACCCAGGCCAGUGUGGUGGAGGGUUGAAAUCGGCAUGAAGCUGAGCGGACAGAAGUGCUCUGGGGACUUCAGGAGGAACACCAGGCAGCUGAACUCACCAGAAGCAAGCAGCAGGACACAGUAACCCACCUGGAACAAAGCCUUUCUGAGGCCAUGGAGGCCCUAAAUCAUGAGCAGGAAGGUGCCAGACUGCAGCAAUGAGAGAGACUCUGGAAGAGGAAAGGCAAGUCCUGACUUUGAGCUUGGAGGAAGAAGGACAGCGGUGCCGGGCUCUGCAGGAAGAACGGGAUGAGGCUUGGUCUGGGCAAUUCAGUGAACAUCGAUAGUUGGAGAUGCUUCAGGCUGCCUUAGAAGAAGAGCGCUGCAGGUGGGCCCAGCAAGAGCACCACCUUGAGGAACGCUACCAGGCGCUGCAAGAGGAAGACAAGGCUCAGUUGGAAAGGGAGAAGGGGAACACCCAGAGGGAAGCCCAAGUGGCUCGGAGGCUCAGCAGCAACUAGCAUUGGUGCAGUCUGAGAUGCGGCGCUUGGAAGGAGAGCUGGACACAGCUCGGAGAGAGCGGAUUCCCUGCAGCUGGAAAUGAGCUUGGUGCAGGCCCGGUAUGAAAGCCAGAGGAUCCAGAUGGAGUCUGAGCUGGCUGUGCAGCUGGAGCAGCAGGUGACAGAGCGGCUGGCACAGAUGCAAGAGAGCAGCCUCCAGCAAGCAGCCUCUCUGAGGGAACAUCCCAGGAAGCAGCUGCAGGAGUUAAGUGGACAGUACCAGCAGGAAUUAGCCUCUCAGUUGACUCAGUUCAAGGUGGAAAUGGCAGAACGAGAAGAACGGCAGCAGCAAGUGGCCCAGGACUACGAGCUCAGACUAGCCCGGGAGCAAGCACUAGUGCGGGACCUGCAGAGUGGGAACCAACAGCUGGAGGAACAGCAGGUAGAGCUGAUAGAAUGACUCCAAGCCAUACUACAAGCCCACUGGGAUGAGGCCAACCAACUGCUUAGCGCCACUCUCCCACCUCCAAACCCUCCGGUCCCUACUACUGGCCCCUCCAGCCCUGGGCUUCAGGAACCAGAGAAAGGGGGGAGGAUGAUCUGGACUAUGCCUCCUGUGGCUGUAGCCCUGAAGCCUGUAUUGCAGCAGAGCCGGGAAACAAGGGAUGAGCCACCUAGAAUGCUUCCUGGUCCCUGCAGCCCUUCCCCAGAUCUUAGCAUCCUACUAGGCUCCAGUUUCCAAAGUCAGCAUUCCUUCCAGCCCCUAGAACCAAAGCCAGAUCUUACGCCAUCCACAGUUGGGGCCUUCAAUCCUGAUCACAAGGCAGAAUAUCCAUUCCCUGAUCCUGGACCCGACUGGGAUGGCUUCCUAAAGCAGGGACUGCCACCUUCUGCUCUCCAGCAACUGAAGGUGGCAGUACCCCAGAACAGUGACAAUUCCUCUGUUGACCUAUUGCCCCCUGAGUCUAGUCCUUUGAUUGUCCCAUCUUGGGAGGAAGCCUCUCAGGUGCCAUGCCUCCCACCCCUGUCUAUAAAACUAAAGUUCCCAUAGUCAUGGCAUCUAGUCUUUUCUGGGUACCUGAGCUUCCUUCAACCCAUUCACGGGGCAGUGGUCCCAGUGGUGGUUCCCCAGAGAGGGGGCUGAUGGCCCGAAGGAGCGCCGACUCCCCCUUGGGUGAGAUCCUCCACAAAGAGUUUCCGUCCCAGGCUAUCCCUCGCCACCUUCCUACAGUCACUAAGACUGAAAAACCUCCAGGACAAAAGAAAAGUGGGCAUCCUGCCCCUAGUAGCAUGAGGAGUCGGGGAGGAGUCUGGAGAUAG